RNAcentral lists this ribosomal RNA (552 nucleotides) under Pichia sp. S413Y4. Its description in RNAcentral is "eukaryotic LSU rRNA". It matches the Rfam family "Eukaryotic large subunit ribosomal RNA", at positions 84 to 657 of the family's 3401-position model. The record is from RNAcentral. Lineage: Eukaryota; Fungi; Ascomycota; Pichiomycetes; Pichiales; Pichiaceae.
UAGCGGCGAGUGAGCGGCAAGAGCUCAGAUUUGAAAUCGUGCUAAUUUUUUUGGCACGAGUUGUAGAGUGUAGGCGGGAGUCUUUGUGGAGCACGGUGUCCAAGUCCCUUGGAACAGGGCGCCUGAGAGGGUGAGAGCCCCGUGGGGUGUCGUGCGAAGCUUUGAGGCCCUGCUGACGAGUCGAGUUGUUUGGGAAUGCAGCUCCAAGUGGGUGGUAAAUUCCAUCUAAGGCUAAAUACUGGCGAGAGACCGAUAGCGAACAAGUACUGUGAAGGAAAGAUGAAAAGCACUUUGAAAAGAGAGUGAAACAGCACGUGAAAUUGUUGAAAGGGAAGGGUAUUGGGCCCGACAUGGGGAGUGCGCACCGCUGUCUCUUGUAGGCGGCGCUCUGGGCGCUCUCUGGGCCAGCAUCGGUUCUUGCUGCGGGAGAAUGGGUGCCGGAAAGUGGCUCUUCGGAGUGUUAUAGCCGGCGCCAGAUACCGCGUGCGGGGACCGAGGACUGCGGCUUCUGUCUCGGAUGCUGGCACAACGGCGCAAUACCGCCCGUCUUGA